AGAGUUUGAUCCUGGCUCAGAGUGAACGCUGGCGGAGGUGCCUAACACAUGCAAGUCGCGCGGGAUUGUGCAGAGUAUCGCAUAGUCUAGCGGCAAACGGGUGAGUAACACGUAGGAAACCUCCCUCAAAAUGGGGAAUAUCUCCGAGAAAUCGGAGUCAAUACCGCAUAAGACCACAGUUUGGCAUCAGAUAGGGGUUAAAGCAGUAAUGCGUUUUGAGAUGGUCCUGCGGCCUAUCAGCUAGUUGGUGGGGUAAUGGCCUACCAAGGCUAUGACGGGUAUCCGGCCUGAAAGGGUGAACGGACACACUGGAACUGAGACACGGUCCAGACUCCUACGGGAGGCAGCAGUGGGGAAUUUUGGACAAUGGGGGAAACCCUGAUCCAGCGACGCCGCGUGGAGGACGAAGGUCUUCGGAUUGUAAACUCCUUUUAGAGGGGAAGAAAAAAAUGACGGUACCCUCAGAAAAAGCCACGGCUAACUACGUGCCAGCAGCCGCGGUAAUACGUAGGUGGCGAGCGUUACUCGGAAUUACUAGGCGUAAAGCGUAUGUAGGCGGUCAGAUAAGUCUUUAGUGAAAUUUCCUUGCUUAACAAGGAAGGGUCUAAGGAUACUGUUUGACUUGAGUGUUGAAGGGGGAGACGGAAUUCCUGGUGUAGCGGUGAAAUGCGUAGAUAUCAGGAGGAACACCGAUGGCGAAAGCAGUCUCCUGGUCAAAUACUGACGCUAAUGUACGAAAGCUAGGGUAGCAAACAGGAUUAGAUACCCUGGUAGUCCUAGCUGUAAACGAUGUUCACUAGAUGUGGGAGGUAUCGACCCCUUCCGCGUCGACGCUAACGCAUUAAGUGAACCGCCUGGGGAGUACGGCCGCAAGGUUGAAACUCAAAGGAAUUGACGGGGACCCGCACAAGCAGGGUGGAAUAUGUGGUUUAAUUCCGACGCAACGCGAAAAAACCCUUACCUGGGCUUGAACUGCUAAUGGUAAAAGCCGGAAACGGUGAUGACCCGCAAGGGAGUUAGCAGAGGUGCUGCAUGGCUGUCGUCAGCUCGUGUCGUGAGAUGUUGGGUUAAGUCCCGCAACGAGCGCAACCCUUAUCCCAUGUUACCUGUAGCAAUACAGGGUCUCUGAGGAAACUGCCAUUGAUAAAAUGGAGGAAGGUGGGGGACGACGUCAAGUCAUCAUGGCCUUUUAUGUCCAGGGCUACACACGUAUUACAAUGGUCGGUACCAAAGGGCAGCGAUAUCGCAAGAUGGAGCAAAUCCUUAAAGCCGGCCCCCAGUUUCAAAUUGUGGGCUGCAAUUCGCCCACAUGAAGUAGGAAUCGCUGAGUAAUCCCAGAAUCACCAGGCUGCGGGUGAAAACGUUCCCGGGCCUUGUACACACCCGCCCGUCACACCACGAAAGUCAGUCGUAACAGAAGUCGUUAAGCUAACCGCAAGGAGGCAGGCGCCUAAGUUAUGGUUGGUGAUUGGGGUGAAGUCGUAACAAGGUAGCCGUACGAGAACGUGCGGCUGGAUCACCUCCUUUAUAAGGAGUAAACAUACGUUUCCAAAUUUAUUUUGAAGCGGGAUGUUAACGGUCGGUCCUUAAAUUCUACAUUCGGGUUUGUUGAUUUUGUGGGGCGUUUAUCUGUGUGUUAUUUGGUAUUGAUAUAUUUAAAAGUUCUAUAUCUUUAAUAGGGCGUGAGUAGUUGUUAACGGGCCUAUAGCUCAGUUAGUCAGAGCGCACCCCUGAUAAGGGUGAGGUCUGUGGUGCAACUCCACAUAGGCCCACCAACGUGUGAUUGAUUUUGUAGUAUAAAAAUUAUGUUGGUGUGUUGGAAAUGGGGAUAUAGCUCAGCUGGGAGAGCGCCUGCUUUGCAAGCAGGAGGUCGUCGGUUCAAUCCCGACUAUCUCCAUAAAAGCUUUCUUUAAUAUAAUCUUUUUAUCUUAAUAAAUAAUUAUAGAUGUAGUUUUGUUCAUUGAAAACUUAAUAGAAGUAAGGUAAAUCAAGCGUCUUCAAAUAUUUAUAUUUGAAACACAAUUUAGUAAAAAGUCAUAUUAACGCUUCACACGAAGUGAGAUUAGAUAAUGUGACCAAGCUACUAAGUGCAUAUAGUGAAUGCCUUGGCUAAGACUGUCGAUGAAGGACGUGGUAAGCUGCGUUAAGCGUCGGGGAGGUGCAAACAACCUUUGAUCCGGCGAUUUCCGAAUGGGGUAACCCACCAUGAAGUAAUUCAUGGUAUCCGAAAGGAAGGCAACCCAGGGAAGUGAAACAUCUCAGUACCUGGAGGAAAAGAAAUCAACCGAGUAUAGCGAAAGUAGUGGCGAGCGAAAUCGCUGAAGCCUAAACCGUUGUGUUUACACAGCGGGGUUGCAGGACCGCAUAAGUAGAGUUACCAAUCAAAAAGUUAAUUGAACGGUUUGGAAAAUCCGACCACAGAAGGUGAAAGUCCUGUAGAUGAAAACUUUUUGACUCGAAGCGGUAUCCUAAGUACCAUCGGACACGUGAAAUCUGGUGGGAAUCUGGGGGGACCACCCUCCAAGGCUAAAUACAAGUCUUAGACCGAUAGUGAACCAGUACCGUGAGGGAAAGGCGAAAAGAACCGCGGGAGCGGAGUGAAAUAGAACCUGAAACUGUAUGCAUACAAGCAGUUCAAGGCUUAUGUCGGAAACGCAAGCAACCGAAAUGGCUGAGAGCGUGCCUUGUUGAAGAAUGAUCCGGCGAGUUAUUGGUAGGUGCGAGGUUAAUUAUUAUUGUUUACGCAUUUUAAGCAACCGUAGCGAAAACCAAGUCUUGAAAGGGCGAAUAGUACCUAUCAUUUAGACCCGAAGCCAAGUGAUCUAUGCCUGGACAGGGUGAAUUCUCUUUUAACCGGGAGAAGGAGGCCCGAAGCGUCGACCGUUGAAAAGGUCUUGCAUGAGCUGGGUAUAGGGGUGAAAGGCCAAUCUAACUUGGUGAUAGCUGGUUCUCUCCGCAAAUAGUUUUUGGAAUAGCCUUGAGCGUUAAACCAGAGAGGUAAAGCACUGAAAUAGUUUAGCGGGUGUAACCCACUUUGCGAUGCUAAUCAAACUCUGAAUUCUCUGGCGUAUUUCUCAGGAGUCAGUACGUGUGGGAUAAGCUUCACGUGCAAAAGGGAAACAGCCCAGACCAUCAAUUAAGGUCCCAAAAUAUAUGCUAAGUGGUAAAGGAUGUGGAAUUUCUUAGACAGCUAGGAGGUUGGCUUAGAAGCAGCCACCCUUUAAAGAGUGCGUAACAGCUCACUAGUCAAGUGAUUCUGCGCCGAAAACACCCGGGGCUCAAGCAUAUUACCGAAAUUAUGGAUUCUAUAGCAAUUAUAGAGUGGUAGGAGAGCGUUCCUGUCGCGCUGAAGGCAUACCGUAAGGAGUGCUGGAGUGGCAGGAAGUGAGGAUGUCGGAAUAAGUAGCGAUAAAAGAGGUGAAAAUCCUCUUCGCCGAAAACCUAAGGUUUCCUUGAGUAAAGUUCGUCUGCUCAGGGUCAGUCGAUCCUAAGCCGAGGUCGAAAGACGUAGGCGAUGGGUAUCCGGUUAAUAUUCCGGAACUAUCUUUAGUGCGUAUAAUGUGUUUGGCUACGCUUUUCAGUAGGUCAGCAUCCGAUUGGAAGUGGAUGUUUCUCGCAAGGGGAGGACUUGGGGCAACCCGAGGAACUGACUGUAUGGGGAGCCAAGAAGAACCCAGGCACCUGUGCUAGAGGUAAACGUACCGCAAACGGACACACGUAGGUGGGGUGAAAAUCCUAAGGCGCGCGAGAUAACUUUCGUUUAGGAACUCGGCAUAUUUGCCCCGUAACUUCGGGAUAAGGGGUGCCUAUGGCAACAUAGGUCGCAGUGAAAUGGCCCUCGUGACUGUUUAACAAAAACACAGGACUCUGCUGAAAUCACAAGAUGAUGUAUAGGGUCUGACGCCUGCCCGGUGCCGGAAGGUCAAGGAGAGGAGUUAGCGCAAGCGAAGCUCUGAACUUAAGCCCCGGUAAACGGCGGCCGUAACUAUAACGGUCCUAAGGUAGCGAAAUUCCUUGUCGGGU
RNAcentral lists this ribosomal RNA (4023 nucleotides) under uncultured bacterium. RNAcentral describes it as "bacterial LSU rRNA". The stretch from base 2074 to 4023 matches the Rfam family "Bacterial large subunit ribosomal RNA", at positions 1 to 1977 of the family's 2925-position model. The record is from RNAcentral.